This 892-nucleotide long non-coding RNA is filed under the name Salmo salar (Atlantic salmon). RNAcentral's name for it is "lncRNA (ENSSSAG00000107099.1)". Lineage: Eukaryota; Metazoa; Chordata; Actinopteri; Salmoniformes; Salmonidae. The record is from RNAcentral.
GCAUGACUCUGAAAGGGCCAGCUCCUCCAGGGUCAGAGGGCAGGCAGGACGUGACUCAGGCUGGACCAGACUCACAGCAGGACAGGACUCAAACUGGACUAGGUCCACAAUGCUGGUAGUGAUGCUCACAGGACUGGGAGGUCGGGACUCAAGAAUAACGGGACAAACAGGAUUACUGGGCCUCACUUUUCUCCUAGUGGUGCUCCGAGGGUUGCUCGGCCUCCCCUCAGGUCUGGAAGGCUGUACAUAAGACUGGACCAGGCCAACGGGGCUAACAGGCCGUCUAUUGGGGCAUUGAGGGUUGCUAGUCCUCCCCUCAGGUCUGGAAGGCUGUACGUCAGGCUGGACCAGGACAACUGGUCUAACAGGCCGUCUAGUGGGGCAUCGAGAGUUGCUUGGCCUCCCCUCAGGUCUGGAAGGCUGUACGUCAGGCUGGACCAGGACAACUGGUCUAACAGGCCGUCUAGUGGGGCGUCGAGAGUUGCUUGGCCUCCCCUCAGGUCUGGAAGGCUGUACGUCAGGCUGGACCAGGCCAACGGGGCUAACAGGCCGUCUAGUGGGGCGUCGAGAGUUGCUAGGCCUCCCCUCAGGUCUGGAUGGCUGUACGUCAGGCUGGACCAGGCCAACGGGGCUAACAGGCCGUCUAGUGGGGCGUCGAGAGUUGCUAGGCCUCCCCUCAGGUCUAGUGAUGCUGACAGGGAUUCUAGGAAUCAUCAUCUCAUGCUGGUGCAGGCUCUCUGGGCUGCUGGGCCGGGAAUCAGGUAGAAGCUUGUAGUUCUUCAGAACCUCAGUGAAGGAGAGCUCCUUGUUGCGCCUGCGUCUGUUGGUUUUGGCAGGCAGCUGGGAGCUGCUGCUGUUAAUCCAACCGGGAGACUCACGACAUCCAUCCUGG